Molecule: ribosomal RNA, 520 nt
Filed under: uncultured bacterium
Lineage: Bacteria
Description: partial 16S ribosomal RNA
Rfam family: Bacterial small subunit ribosomal RNA
Source: RNAcentral
GACGAACGCUGGCGGCGUGCCUAAUACAUGCAAGUCGAACGCACUCUCGCUUAGAUUGAAGGUGUUUGCUCCUGAUUGAUGAACAUUUGAGUGAGUGGCGGACGGGUUAGUAACACGUGGGUAACCUGCCCUAAAGGGGGGGAUAACAUUUGGAAACAGAUUCUAAUACCGCGUAAAACCUAACACCGCAUGGUGGAGGGUUGAAAGAUGGUUUCGGCUAUCACGUUAGGAUGGACCCGCGGUGCAUUUGUUAGUUGGUGAGGUAAAGACUGACCAAGACCGUGAUGGAUAGACGACCUCAGUGGCGAAUAGGCCACAUUGGAACUGAGACAGCGCCCAGAGUACUGCGGGACGCAGCAGUCGGGAAUCUUACACAAUGGACGAAAGUCUGAUGGAGCAACGCCGCGUGAGUGACGAAGGCGUUCCGAUCGUAAAACUCUGUUGUUGGAGAAGAAUGUAUCUGAUAGUAACUGAUCAGGUAGUGACGGUAUCCAACAAGAAAGCCACGGCUAACUACGUG